Molecule: ribosomal RNA, 464 nt
Filed under: uncultured bacterium
Lineage: Bacteria
Description: partial 16S ribosomal RNA
Rfam family: Bacterial small subunit ribosomal RNA
Source: RNAcentral
CUACGGGAGGCACCAGUCGAGAAUCUUUUGCAAUGCCCGCAAGGGUGACAAUGCGACGCCGCGUGAGCGAUGAAGGCCUUCGGGUUGUAAAGCUCUGUCAGCAGGGAUGAAUACAAGGUCGUUAAUACCGGCCUUGGGUGACGGUACCUGCAGAGGAAGCCUCGGCUAACUCCGUGCCAGCAGCCGCGGUAAUACGGAGGAGGCAAGCGUUGUUCGGAUUCACUGGGUGUAAAGGACAUGUAGGUGUCCCGUUAAGUCGGGUGUGAAAUCCCUUGGCUCAACCAAGGAAUUGCAUUCGAUACUGGCGGGAUUGAGUACUGAAGAGGUAAGCGGAAUUCCGGAAGUAAGGGUGAAAUCUGUAGAUAUCCGGAAGAACACCAUUAGCGAAGGCGGCUUACUGGUCAGAUACUGACGCUGAAAUGUGAAAGCUAGGGGAGCAAACAGGAUUAGAUACCCGAGUAGUC